GCUUCGUCUGCCUCGCCUGGGAAUGUUAUCUUCUGCCCAUUCUGCAUACCUUUCUCCACGUGAACUUCCAACACCUUCUUCUCCUGCACAACCUUCUCUCCCUUACACUGUGGGCACCUAUCUUUGUCAUUAAUUGUCUCACCAGUACCCUUACACUCAUUGCAAGGGUGCUGCAUCUGCUGGAUCAUAGAUGGACCAAGCUGUCUAAUAGAAACUUUCAUCCCAGACCCUUGACAGCCAGAACACUUCAUUGAAACACCUGACUUAGACCCUUUACUGGAAAUGACAAUAUAGCACCAUCAUGAAUGCAAGACAUAGUGAAAAAUACUCACCCCUGACACACACUACAAUGACUCCAUAAAUAAAUGAAAAAUGAAGUUGAAACAUAACUAAUCAAGCUAUACACUCACCCCUUGCACUUUGUGCACAACACAUUGCGAGAUAGUGAAAGCUUCUUUGAUGUCCCAUUGUAAACAUCCUCCAACGAAACCUUGAGAGGGUGGACAACAUCCUCUCCUUUUCUUUGUCUUC
This 531-nucleotide long non-coding RNA is filed under the name Nicotiana tabacum (common tobacco). RNAcentral's name for it is "long non-coding RNA (NTAB_LNC005361)". The record is from RNAcentral. Lineage: Eukaryota; Viridiplantae; Streptophyta; Magnoliopsida; Solanales; Solanaceae.